This 703-nucleotide ribosomal RNA is filed under the name uncultured bacterium. Its description in RNAcentral is "bacterial SSU rRNA". It matches the Rfam family "Bacterial small subunit ribosomal RNA", at positions 28 to 733 of the family's 1533-position model. The record is from RNAcentral.
GACGAACGCUGGCGGCGUGCUUAACACAUGCAAGUCACGGGGCCCGCAAGGGCAACCGGCGAACGGGUGCGUAACACGUGAGCAAGCUUCCGAUUUCUGGGGGAUAGCCGGCCCAACGGCCGGGUAAUACCGCAUACGUUCACUAGGCGGCAUCGUCUGGUGAGGAAACCUCCGGGGGAAAUCGAGGCGCUCGCGGCCUAUCAGCUAGUUGGCGGGGUAACGGCCCACCAAGGCGACGACGGGUAGCUGGUCUGAGAGGAUGGCCAGCCACAUUGGGACUGCGACACGGCCCAGACUCCUACGGGAGGCAGCAGUGGGGAAUAUUGCGCAAUGGACGAAAGUCUGACGCAGCGACGCCGCGUGUGGGAUGAAGCUCUUCAGGGUGUAAAACCACUGUUGCCCCGGGGACGAAAACUCCUUUAUUUCCGUAAAGGGACUGACGGUACCGGGGUUGAGGAAGCACCGGCUAACUCUGUGCCAGCAGCCGCGGUAAUACAGAGGGUGCGAGCGUUGUCCGGAAUCACUGGGCGUAAAGGGCGCGUAGGUGGCUUGGUAAGCGUGUGGUGAAAGUCCGGGGCUCAACCCCGGAUCUGCCGUGCGAACUGCUGAGCUUGAGCACUGUAGAGGCAGGUGGAAUUCCGGGUGUAGCGGUGGAAUGCGUAGAGAUCCGGAAGAACUCCAGUGGCGAAGGCGGCCUGCUGGG